RNAcentral lists this long non-coding RNA (17451 nucleotides) under Malus domestica (apple). Lineage: Eukaryota; Viridiplantae; Streptophyta; Magnoliopsida; Rosales; Rosaceae. The record is from RNAcentral.
AUCCAAGAAAAACUUAAAUGUUAAGCCAUAUAAUAAGUCUAUUGUGGAUUGGACGGAAAAUAUAGUUUAUGCAGACCAUUCUACACAUCGAUGGUGCGCCAUCCCUUUGGAUGACGAGAACCAGUUUCCAUCUUCUGUUAAUCUUGAGCCUGUUACCUUGGAGUCUGCUGUGCUGAAUUUUGGAGAAAAUCAUCUAGCUUUGAUCAAUACUGGUCUAGAUAAUGGUUAGAACUUCAAUAAUUCUUUUGUGCAUGUAUUUUAUAAGUUGUUACUUGGGUUAUGGAUUUGUUUGGCUGAUACUUGAUAGAAGGCGGUGAGGUGGAGUGGAACUUGCCAAGGAGCCCUUGGGAAUAUAUAACAGAAAAUGUGCUGGAAGACUUGCUUUCGGCAUUUAAACACGUGAGGAAUGAAAUGAAGUCUGCAAGGCCCAAAGAAGUAAGUCCAACUUUGGUUGCCAGAGUGGGGAAAGUACUCUUUCGCAGGUUAGAUUUCCUCCUCAUCUAAUUCACUGGUUAGCUUUCGAGCCUUUUGUGCCAUUCAUUAACUUGAUUAUGUAAUGCGAUUAUUCAUUAAUUUGUUCUUUUAGUUGCCUCAGGAUACUGGUUAAAGUAGAACAAAAAAUAGUUAUACUAUGAUAAAAGGUCAUAUUUUGGCAUUUUAGCUCAGAAGAUACGGUGCCAAGUUUGACAGUGAAGUAGGAUUAUCAAAUUCUGCCCUUGUUUUUGAUACUUGAUACAUAUAUUUCAGUAUUGAUGCUUAAUCACUGUCAACCAUCUCAUAUUUCACAUUAGUUUUGUAACAACAGGAAAGAAUCUUGUACUACUCCUUAGUUAUACAUGAGCAGAUGAAAGACAAUCUUUUGUUGAAAUCUUUGUAUGAGUUAACAUGGAAUCUAUCAGAAAAAAAAUUGUUUACUGAAGCCUUGAAACAAUGGAGGAAAUCAUUUUGCACAAACAUCCCCGUUUCAUUUAAGGAAAAGAUUUUAAAGGAAGUUGUCUCGAAAGUUGUAGUUGAUUUCGAAGAGGAGAAACAUAUACCAAGUAAAGCUUUUCAGCCUAUUGUUCUUUUAGUUGAUCGUUUCAUGCGAUUAUCCUUUUUACCUUUAUAUUGUUCUCUUAUCUGCCUCAGAAUACUGGUUGAAGUAGAACAAAAUAAUAGUAUAUUCUAUGAUAAAAGGUUACAUUUGGCAUUUUAGUUUAGAAGGUAGGAUGCCAAGUUGAACAGUGAAGGACUCUAAAACUCUGCCUUUGUUUUUCGAUACUUGAUCAAUAUUAUUUUGGUAUCGAUGCUUAAUUACUGUCGAUAAUGAUAUUUCAUAUAAUUUGUACACAAACAGAUGUAUACAUAGCAAUUUUUGUUGAAAUCUUUGAAUCAGGAGCCCUUCAAUUAACAUGGAAUCCAUCAGAAAAAAUUAUGGUACUGAAAUCUUGCAACAAUGGAGGCGAUUAUUUUACAUAAACACUCCUGUUUCAUAUAAGGGAAAGAUUGUGAACGAAGUUGUCCCGAAAAUUGGAGUUGAUUUCGAAGAGGAGGAAGAUACAUACGAAUUACAGGUAUUUCUUUUAGACACGUCAACUUACUGAGUUCUGAGUUCAUGUGUUCCAGAAUUCUGACUGUAGCUAUUGAAUUGCUCAUUCAUUUUAUUCUUGUAUAGUUGUCUGAUUCUACGAGUCCAGAGUCCACUCUCUUCUGCAGAUGUCGGGUAAUGAAAGAACAUGGAAAGCUACAACUCUGUGAGGCAAGUUUUCCAAUUCAUGCCAACUAAAUUUGAUGAAACCGUAUAUGUUGCAUCAAUAUCACAAUUGAGUUGCCACAAUAUUGAUUAGAUAACUUGGAUAUAAUAUUAUGCAGCAAAAAUAUGGGUAUUGUAUAAUAAAACUCAAUGUUUCAACCACUGAAUGUGAUUAAGUUCUCCAAUUUUUGGAAUAAUUUGUGAGGAGCCUUUCCAGAUCAUUAAUAUUUUCCGGACUCUUCCCUCUCUUAAUUUUUCCUGUUGCUUGGCUUAGGGUUUGUAUCCUGAGAUUUACAUCGAAAUGUCAACUUUCUUUCAGAUCAAAUUGAAACCAGUGCGUAACAUGGUAAUGGACAUUUCAUGCACUACUAAGAAUCUGGACCUGAGACUAAUGCUGUGCACGGAGAAACUCGUAACUGAUCUGACUGUAAGCUGCUUUGCCCCGUCCUUUAUAAAUUUACAUUUCUAAUCCUUGUUUCAGCAAAGAUAUUAAUUUUGACCUAUAUUUAUCUUCAAGCCACAAUCAAAACAAAGAAUGUAACGUUUUCUAGAAAUGUAACAGGACGAUAUGGGUUAACCGUACUGGAUCCCUGGCUGAACUUAUGCUUCUUAGAAUGAAGUUUCGUGAUCAUAUUAAUUGUUGCCAUUUCAGAAUGAUGAGAUGCAAAGCAUCACGGAUCUGAUUAAUUCUGCGAUUCUAGAUCCAGAUUUGAAGGGUGGAUUGAGGUGGCCCCCGGGGAAGGAGUCUUCUGGAGAUAAAUACACAGUUGUUAGGGUUUGUCACGGAAUGGGUAGUACGUAUAGAAAUUCAUCACUGGGACUUAAAGUAAAACACUACGAUCGAUUUGAUUUGAGAACCUUAACUGGGGAAGCUUCCUGGGGAAUAAGUCUGAUGCUGGAAAACGUCGUGUCAAAGUUACAGGUAAAGGCUGCCUAUUCUCUUGGACAUUUUUUUUAGUUCAUAUGCUGAAAUAAAAGAUUAGUUUGAGAAAGUUUGUCGUGCGCUGAAAUCUCCUGUUCUUUUAAUUUUCAGGAAGAGAAUGUUGAAGCCAGCACAAUUUCUGAGAUACUCAAGGGAGAUAUGCAGUUGAUAUGGGAUAACUUCUUGAGCUUUGAACGUUUUCUAACAUGAAAUUGCAUGUUGUAAAUCAGUGAUAACGUUCUGUGCGAUGUGUAUAUAUCUGUCUACCUCCUUUGUUUUAUGUUCAACUUUCGGCAUCGUUUGAUGAAUAAUUAGUAACUGUUUUUGUAUUUCUUGCAAUUCUGUUUGUAUCUGGCAUCUUUGAUGGUUAAUGAAAUUUUCUCGAUUUUACAUUCGAUGACUACACUGCCAGUAAAUGCUUCGGCUCACGUGUUUCUUACAACCAAGAUGGUUAAUGAACUUUUUGCAGUUUCUUUUAGCCUUGCGUCCCAACCCCACAAGCGGCGGUUAAAGGAAAAGGAAAUUUUGUUACAAGAUUCUGAACACACAUUGAUAAUAGGUGGAGUAUAUAUACUCUCUAGGUUCUAUAGUAACUUCUAGUAACCUAAUGCAAGGUUUUUUAACUUUUUGAUGACGGAUAAUGCUCAACAUCACACGUUAAAGAUCCAAAUGUUUAUACAUUAAUUGUCCUUUGGUUUUUUAACUUUUCGAUGGAGAAGAUGAAGGAUUUUUUCUUCGUAUUGAUUUGUUAUUAGAGAAGAAGGGUUUUCUUUAAUAAUGAAUCCCCAUUUUUAAAUUGGAUUUUCAUUCACGUAGCACAAAUUUUGUGGGGCUGUGACGCUCACACGAGUAGAUAAUGGAGAAACUAACAUAAAUUGAUACAGAUGUAUGACAUUUGUAUGAAAUUGUUAGUCGUCUUAAAAAAUUGAAAAUUUUGAAAAAUGUACCAAAUUUGAUUUGGACAAAAACUUGAGGAGACAAAAUGAACCUUUUUUCUUACAUUUUUCGUUGAGUUAGAUAAAUUUCAAUCCCAAAUUUCUGGCCCAAUGAACUCCAAAAAUGGCUUUUGAGUUGUAAAAUGAGCAUUUCAAAGCUAAUUUUAUUCUUUAUUAAAACCCUCUGGUAAGAGUUAUUUAAUACUACAUUUUAAUAAUAUUUCUCUUUACUAGUAAGUGUAAGUGAAAGAUUUUAAGUUUGAUUUUCGUCAAAUAUGAAUUUGAACCACAUUAUUAUAGCAAACUCAUUGUGAGGCUUAGCCAUCUCCGUCUACGGUCUGGUGAUAUUCAUCUUUACUUGUAAGUAAGAGGUAUUAGUUCGAAUCUCGUGGAUGUCGAAUUUGGUACCAAAUUAGAUUGCUCAUUGUGUGGCUUAUCCAAACUCCCUAUUCUCUUAAUUUAAAAUAUAUCGUUAUUUAAAAAAAUGUAAAUAAUAUCGUUUGUACAAAAAAAAAAAAAAAAAAAAAAAAACCUCUAGCAAAGUUAAUUAGCAAAAAGAAAAAGAAAAGCCCUCCGUCGAGGUUUGUCACAAAAAAAACAUAUAACCCUCACCAAAUUGUCUCUAAAACGAAAAUGAAAAAGAAAAAAAGACCUCCAGCGAGUUGUCUUUAAAAUGAAAAAGAAAAGGAAGAACCCCUCUAGCAAGUUGUAAUCCUAUAUAAUCAACGUGGAGCUUCAGUCAUGAUUCAUUGGGUUGAGAUAAUUCAAGAUAAUUUUAAUGAAAAGUUUUCGGUACUAUUUAUUUUAACGAUAAAUCACAUUUUUACAUUAAAAAACAAUUUUGAUAUUAUUCACUUUACUCUUUAUUUUGUCAUUUUCAUUAAAAUUCAAAAUUUUCAAAUUUUUUUCAUUAGUUUUUCUUUAAUUUCAAAGCAUUCAUCCUAAGCAUUUCCUUUUUUUUUUUUUUUUCAAAUGGCGUCUACUUCUUCCAGCUCUUCCUCCUUUAUCCUUCUCCUUACACUACUGUUGACCCUAAAAAUUACCAAGCCUACGUGGCGCGCAGGCCGAGUAACUAGUGAGCUAACUACGUCAUUCGGUUGUAUGUGGGCGUGCCAACUCGUCGGCCGACGAGUAAAAUAUGUUGAUGUUGCGUUGGGUGCGCUAUUGACUUCUGAAUCUCGCGACUGCGGCUGAGGAAGGAACACUCUCGGCCUUCGGGUUCUAGAGCCUGAAGACAAGGCUGCUAGUUCUGCGAAGUUCAAUAUCAAAUUCUGCUUUCAAUGUGCCGAAUGUAAUAACUUGUAACACCUCACUUCGCCGAAAAGGCUAAUGAGAUGACCUUUGCCAAUAAGGAUUCGAAAAUCCUUCUCGACUGAGACUUGGAUAGAUAACUAUUCGACGCAGUGCUGUUUAUCCAAACUAAAGGUGCUCUGUGGUCGGCUGAUUCUACGGCAACAAUGCUGUUUAUCCAAACUGAAGAUGUUCGCCAGUUGCCUUCAUAAUGCUGUUUAUCCAAACUGAAGAUGUGUUUGCAAAAAAGAAAAUAAAAAAUCUCAAGAUGUUUGAGAGGUUUCGUGUAGAGCGAGGAUUUGCGCAUGACAGUUUGUGUGUUGAGUUGGAGAUCCCUCAAUGCUGCACAGUCUUCAUGUAUUUAUAGCGUUGGAUAUCUACCUGGAACAGCUGAUGGUGCUUGUAGAGUCCAACUGCAAUUCUUUUCUGCGGAACAGAAACUAAUCCGCAUCAGAGAACUACCAUAUCCUUCAGAUAGAUGUUCACGAUUUUCCAAACUUCACAAAAGCCUAUCCAAAUAAAAGUCUUAUCACCAUAGCCUAGCCUACCUAGGCUUGUCAUCAUUAUCCAAGACUAUUAAAUCUUAGACUUAUCACAUCACCACAAAAAACCAAGCCUAUCUAGGUUUCUCCAUAAUCCAUCCGUGCAUGCACCAUGACUUUUCAAACCUCAUCUACCAAGUUUCUCCAAUCUGAUAGCAGUAAUCCUAAGUUCACUCGAACUGUACUUGUUCGAAGAUAUAAUACUAAGAUAAUCCAAAUUACAAAAUAAUUACUAUGACAAAAACUAUAAUAUUAUCCUUUAACAAAAAUAUCUUCACUUUUCCAUCCGACGGUUGAGAACUAUAUUUACUCAACGGCCUUGAUUACACAUGCCGAUGGUGUAAAUUUGGGUUCAAACACCUACCCAGUGUUUCCAACUUUCUUACGAUUAAACUUGACCUUACCAAUUACCCUGUCUGGAAAGCUCCCUUACUUCGUAGCAGGAAUCUCGUCUCUUUUGUUGAUGGCACUAGCAAAUGUCCUCCUGCCUUUCUCAGAUACUGAUACUGUGAAUCCGGAGUUUGAAGAAUGGAUUCAACAAGAUGCUAUGGUUAUGGAUUCCACCAUACAAGCGGCACUCAAAGAAAUCGAAGAGGUCAUUGCUGACUCUAGAGCUGCUUGCUCCACAAUUCAAGAAAAACUUAAAUGUCAAUCCAUGUAAUAAGUCUAAUGUGGAUGGGACUGGAAGAAUAGUGUAUGCAGACCAUUCUGCAAAUAGAUGGUGCGCCGUCGCUUUGGAUGACGAGAACCAGUUUUCCCCUAUAACUCCUUAUAGUAUUUCUCCUAUCAUUAUUUUAGUUUAUUCAUGUUGAUUUAAGCCCACCAAUCUGCCACAUUUUUUGGUAAUUUCAUUUUUACUCUUAAUAAAAUAAUUAUAACCACGUUAAAACUUAAAUGAAAAUUUUGGACUGCUAUUAACAAUUCUUUCUAAUUACCGAAAAACUAAUUAACAAUUUUUAUAAGGAAUAAGAUUUUUAGAAAAAAUAUCAAAUGAAAUUUUUAAAGUGCUAUUAACAAUUCUCAAAUUUAAAAGGAUAAAAAAAUUGAUGGCUAUUAUUUUUGGAGAACUCACAAGGCAAUGUGAAGAGUAAAAGCCAUAUAUUAAAGGCAAUGUUAGAGAGAUUAAAUUUGUAGAUAAAAUUUACAAACUAAUUAAAUGAUGUGCCACCAAUAGAAAUGAAUACAUUUAUCAACGUUUAAGUAAUAAUCUAAUAAUCAACUUACAUGUCACUUAUAUCGCGAAGGAAAUCUUGUUGCGGACAAUUUUGCUAACAUGAGCUUGUCUUCUCCAUCUUUAACAUGGCUUGAUUCUCCUCCUAUGGCGGUUCAUGCUGCUCUGUUUUUCUGACUAUGUUAGCUUGUCUGGUUACCGCUUCUCAAAUUAAUAUGCAUGUCGGCAUCUAGGUUUGUCUCACUUUCUUUUUUUCUCUCCUAACUUUAUGGUGUUGUUUGACUUGUUUUGCAGGUUUAGACCUUCAUGUUUGGUUCUAGAGGGGUUAGGUUUCAUGUCCCCCCCCUCUUUUCUUUGUAUCAUUCUUGUUUUUUGUUUCUAGAAGGGUAAGGUUUAUGUCCCCCCUUCUUUCUAGUGUAUUCCUUUUUGUUGUCUCUGUUUUUUGAGGGGUAAAGUUUAUGUCCCCCUUGACUAAGUGUAACUUGUUUUUUCGUUAUCAAUAAAAUUACCCUCGUACCGUCGAGGUUUUCCAAAAAAAAAAAAAAAAAAAAAAAACUUACAUGUCACUUAGUUUACACAAUUUAGUUUACAAAUUUAGUCUUUUUAACGUUACUCAUUUGUUAAAAUCUUUUAAGACUCAUGUCCAAGCGUGUAUGUGUGCAAAUCUCUAGUGAUACUCCUUCUUUAUGUCGAUGACAUAAUCCUAACUGGUGCUAAUGUUGAUGAUGUGCAAUCUAUGAUUAACGAGUUGACUGCAGAAUUUGAUAUGAAGGAUUUGGGGUUGUUACAUUUCUUCUUGGGGUUAUAGAUUGAGUAUCAAUCUCAAGGUGUGUGUGUUCAUUAAAGUAUGUCAAAUAUCUGCUUCAGAAAGCAAAUAUGGUUGACUGCAAACCUUGUCUCACUCCUUGUCAUCCUAACCAGAAAUUGCUCAAUCAUGGCAGUCCUCAUAUGGCUGAUCCUGGAUUUUAUUGAAGUCUUGUAGGUGCAUCGCAAUAUCUCACCUUAACUAGGCCUGAUAUUGCUUUCUCUGUAAACCAGGUGUGCCAAUAUAUGCAUACACCUCUUGAAGCUCAUUUUGCUGUUGUCAAAUGCAUUCUAAGCUAUCUUCAAGGUUAUGUCAGUUUGAGAUUGUGUUUUAAACCUGGCCCUUUAUAGUUAAAAGCAUAUACAUAUGCUUAUUGGGCUGGGGAUCCCAAUGAUCGACGAUCAACAACUGGCUUUGUUGUUUUUCUGGGAUCAUAUCCCAUUUCUUGGAGCUCUAAGAAGCAACACACUGUUAGCCAGUCUUCCACAGAGGCCGAGUAUAGAGCUAUGGCUACUACUACGGUUGAAGUGGUUUGGAUUCAACAAUUGCUUAAGGAUUUACAUCUUCUUGGUUCUGACACUCCAUUUCUCCACUGUGACAACAUUUCGGCUAUGGCACUUGCAACUAAUCCAGCAUUUCACUCAAAAUCAAAACAUAUUGAGAUAGAUUGGUAUUUCGUAUGUGAAAGAGUACAACAAGGCACCAUUUUGUUGCAGUUUGUCAACUCUUCAUAUCAGUAUGCAGAUAUGUUUACUAAAGGGUUGUGUUCACCUCAAUUUAGAUAUAAUUGUGCCAACCUCAUGCUUGGUUGUUCCAACCAUGAGCUUGUAGGGGGAUGAUAGAAUGUAUACACACUUAUGUGUUGAUGGGAUUAAGACAGGUGUCAUAAGAUUAAGAAUGGAGGUGUCAUGUGGUUGUCAAGAUGUAUUCUAUAAAUACUCAUCAUGUAAUUAUUCCAUUACAAUUAUUGAAAACAGAAAACAGUUAUUACAAUUGUCUCUCUAGAUUCUCUCUCUAAUAUCUCUCUCUUAUCUUUCGAUAGUUGCUUACACAGUAAGCUUUCUCUGGUUUGUUGACACUGGGUAAGCCCCUCUACUUCUUCUUCUUCUACAAAUUGAAUGUCUUAAUAUGUAUGCAAGCAUUUUAUUUUUGCCUCUACAAUUUUCUUUCAGUCACAAGUUCUGGUGUUAGAAUGGCUUACGUCCCACCCCACAAGAGGCAUUUAAAGGAAACCGAGAGGCCAUUGCUGAGGCUGGAGCUGCUUGCUCCCCAGUUCAAGAAAAACUUAAAUGCCAGGCCAUCAAAGUUUAAUGUUGAUACAAGUUCAAAGUCAUUUAUUUAUGCAAACCGUGCUUUAUUGAGAUUGUGCACCAUUGGUUUGGAUGACCAGAACCAGUUUCCGUCUACAGUUAAUCUUGAGCCCAUUUCCUUUCGGAAUCUACCGAGUGGAAUAAUGAAGAAAAACCUCUAGCUUUGAUAAACUCUUGUCUAGAUAAUGGUAAGUAGUAGCGUAACAUAUGCUUUGAUAAACUCUUGUUUAUGUUAUAGUUCUAAGGAAUCUACUUUUCAUCUUUUUUUAAGGUAUCAGAUAUCUAGGCAGCUUUGGAGGUAGUUAGCAUGUUAAUUUAAUACCUUUUUGCCUUUUUAGAUUCCUUGGCUAUUUUUUUGGGAUGUAUACAUACGUAAGCCAUUUUCUCGACAAUUGCACAAUGUCUGGAUAUUUGCAGGUCUUUCUACUAUUUCGGCUAUUUGGAAAGCUCGAAAUAAGUUUACUUUUUAGGGUUGUCCAAUCUACUUUCGUCAUCUUUACAUGUCUAUUAAUUCUUAGAUUGUUCAUGGUGGGAAGUUUAUUCCUGAUUACUUUCAGGGUUUUGACACUCGUAUCAUUUCUUCUUUGAUCCAACCUUUCCCUCGCAAGGCACCAACUAUUCUUCUUGUGCUUUGGUCUUCUCUUUGGUUUCCUUAGAUUAAACUUAAUACCGAUGGUUUAUCUAAAGGAAAUCCUGGUCCUGCUGCUUGUGGAUGAGUUUUCCAGGAUUGCCAUGGUGGUUUCUGCCAAGGGAUUGGUCAUAGAAACUUUUUUUUGGAAAAUCAUCAGCAUUUAUUAUUGGUGUAGAGUUUGCAUAUCAGCGGGGUUGAUAUUGUCUUUGGCUGGAAAGUGACUCUUCUAGUGUUAUUUGUGGUCUUAAUCGAUUGAUUUGGAUCCUCCUUGGCCUCUUCAUAUGCAAUGAUCUAUUUGUUUAGAACGCGUUUGCAAGAUGACUUUCUAUGCCUCUCACAUUUAUCGCAAAGGAAAUGUGGUUGCGGAAAAUUUUGCUAACAUGAGCUUGUCUUCUCCAACUUUGGUAUGGCAUGAUUCCCCUUUGUUGGCAUUUCAGGCUGCUUUGUUUUUAGACUAUGUUGGCUUUCCUGACUUCCGCUUCUUAAAUUAAUGUGCAUCUCGGCAUACAUGUUUGUCUCAUUUUCUGGUUUUUUCUUUCUUUCUUAACCUUGUGAUGUUGCUUGUUCUAUUUUGCAGAUUUAAUGUAACAUCCCACAUCGACCAACGAAGAGGUGGUGAUGUGCCUUAUAUAUACAUGCCCACCUUCUAUAGCACGAGGCAUUUUAGGAGCUCACUGACUUCGGGUUUCGUUGGAACUUCGAAGUUAAGCGAGUUCGGGCGAGAGUGGUCCUAAGAUGGGUGACCCACUGGGAAGUUCUCGUCUAAGUUCCCAGAAACAAAACCGUGAGGGCGUGGCCGGGGUAUAAAACGGAAAAUAUUGUGCUACGGCGGAACCGGAACUUAGAUGUGUCAGAUUGGUAUCAGAGCCACUCUGCCGUAUGGUGCGAGUGUGUUGACGAGGACGUCAGGCCUCUAAGGGGGGUGAAUUGUAACAUCCGACAUCAACCAACGAAGAGGUGGUGAUGUGCCUUAUAUGUAUAUGCCCACCUCUUAUAGUACGAGGCUUUUUGGGAUCUUAGUGGCUUCGGGUUUCGUCGGAAUUCCGAAGUUAAGCGAGUUUGGGCGAGAGCGGUCCUAGGAUGGGUGACCCACUGGAAAGUUCUCGUCUGAGUUCCCAGAAACAAAACCAUGAGGGCGUGGUCGGGGCCCAAAGCGGACAAUAUCGUGAUUUGGCGGAGCCGGGACUGGGAUGUGUCAUUUAAACCUUUAGGUUCACCUUUAGAUGGGUUAGGUUUCAUGUCCCCCCUCUUUUCCUUGUAUCUUUGUUGUUUUUGUUUCUAGAAGAGUAAGGUUUUUGUCCCCCUUCUUUUCCAUGUAUUUUUAAUCCUUUUUUCUUGUAUUAUGAGGGAUUAAGUUUAUGUCCCCUUGACUAGGUGUACCUUUUUUUUCAAUAUCGAUAAACUUUCCUCGUACCAUCGAGAUUUCCUAAAAUAGAAAAAAUAAAAAAACAAAAAAGUCUUGUUUUGCAAAUGUUCCGUUGUCGUAUAAGGAAUACAAUGUAAAGGAAGUUGACCCGAAGAUUGGAAUUGACCUCAAAGGGGAGAAAGAUUUAUACUAUGUAAAGGUAUAUUUCUUUUGCAAUAUUUCACAUCAACUUACUGAAUUCAUACUUUCACAGAUAUUCAAAGUGUAUUUUGGAUAUAUUAAAUCCCUCUCCUUCGUUCCUUGUUCAUAGUUGUCUGACUCUAGACGACCAAAAUGAAUCAUCACUUGCAAAUGCAGUGUGGCAAAAAAACAAGGAAAGCUACAUCUCAAGAAGGCAAGGUUUUAAGUUCAUACAUGUGAAUAUAUGGUUUAUAUACUACAAAAUCACGCACUGUUAUGUGUUAUAUUUUUUUAUUUAGUGAGACUUAUAUCAAAUGGCCAUUUUCUUUUAUAUGGAGCUGAGAUGCAAUGCAUUAGGGAUGUAACUAGUUCAGGGAUUCUGGAUUCAAAUGUGAAGGGAGGGUUGAGAUGCAACGCAUUAGGGAUGUAAAUAGUUCGGCGAUUCUGGAUUCAAAUGUGAAGGGAGGGUUGAGAUGGCCACUAGGGAAGGCGUUUUCAGAAGGCCGGUAUAAUGUCGUUGGAAUUUGGCAUAUAUUUACCACUACUUAUGAAAAUCCAACUCUGAAACUAAAGUUAAGGCAUGCGAAUCACUUCGAUUUUACCGCCUCGGCUCGUGAAACUAGUUGGGAGGUUAGGCUGUUUCUGAAAAUGCUCGUUUCCAAGUUAUAAGUAAGUCUUGUAUUUUUCUCUCAUAAUCAAGCAUCUAUCAUGUAAUGUACCAAGAAAAGAUCUAAUAGGUGUGUUCGUCUGGAGGAAUUUCCGAUGAGGACGUUUCCUGGCCGACGAGCACACAGCUCCCCAAGAGGUUGGCUUUGGUUGAUAUUGUCUAUCGGGCUUCUGCUUAUUGGAGGCUGUAAGAGAAAGACAUAGUUAUUUUGAAAGGUGCCUUUAUGGGGCCUUAGGUGUAGGCCUUGAGGUUCACAAUCAAAAUUAACUUUAGGUGUUCAGGCGUGCCAUUGCCAUCUUUAGCAUGACAGAUGUAAAACAUAUGUUUAGUUUAAUUGUAUAUGCCCGAGAGACUAAGUUAGCUAUGAAAGGUACCUUCGUAGGGCCUUAGGUGUAGGCCUUGAGGCUUGCAUUCAAAACUUAACUAAGUACUCGAACAUAUAGUGGUUGUUUCAUUGUUGCAGAAGUUUUACAACUGUUAUACUUUAAUCACCCGAGCCCGAAGAGCAGAAUGAAGCCAGAUAGGUGCCUUUAUAGGGCCUUAAGUAUAGGCCUUGAGGCUUGCCAUCAGAAUUAAUUUUAUACUCAAGUGUUCUGUGGCAAUCAUAAUAUAACAGAAGUAAAACUAAGAAAUAUGCUGAUUACUUGCGCCUCAAGUAACUUCAGACUUCUUGUUAUCAAGGAUUAUCGUGGAUGGGUUAAGUCCACAUAAAGUUCUUUUUAUGCCUUGAGACCAAUGACUUUUGACUGAUAAAUCUUGUAUCCCCGAAAUGUUAGAACUUAGAUCUGGUCAAGUUAUGAGUGCGGAUUCCAACUUUAUCUUUUGCAUGGUUGGGUACCAUUAAACAGACCAGAUCCAAGAACCAAGAAGCCUUUUAAUCAUAAACUUGCUAGAAAUAACUUGGAUACAGAUGGAAGUAUACAUCAUAUUACUAGAUUUAUGAAUGAAAAGACAGAACAAAGAGGGUCGGGCAAGGUUUCACCAUGUCGGGCAAGGUUGAUCGUCUUGCAACUUCCUCUCUUUGUGAUUUACAAAGGGUUUGAGUGCUAGAAGGAGAGAUUGGAAGAUGAGUUUACAGGAGGGAAUCGAUACUACAUCAAGAUUCAGACAAGGUAACAGAGCUUUUACAAAGGCUUUUGGUGAAGGUUGAUCCUGAAAAGGAUGAAGGUUUAGUGCUGACUACAGCUUCGUAUGCAAAUCUGGCUUGAGUAGAGUUUGUGUAUUUGUUUGUUUGAUUGAGUGUCCUUAUAUCUGAUUUCUCUUUCCUUUUUUAUAGAUGAUUUGGCUUGGCUGUCUGCAGCAUCGAUGUUGCCCGAAUGCGGCUGAAGGGUAAUGACUCAUCAGCUUUUUACUUGUACUGUCAUUGUAAAUUACUUUUGAGUUGAUUGGUUGGCUAGUCUACACCACUUGACUUUUACGUAGGUGAGUAAGUGGCUCAAGUGAUCUGCACUUAGUCGAGAAAAGGGCUUCUUCUGCCUUUUGGGCUUCGACUGAGCCUUGGGCUUCCUUCCUUCUAUACAUUCUUCUGGACUAACUUCCUUUUGAGCCUAAAAUUCCAGUUUUAACCCAAACAAUGUGUCCAUCAUAACAUACGCCGAUCUUAUUCUUUUGAUUUUUCAGGAAGAGAUGUUGAAGCGGCUUGAUUUUUGAUAUGCUGCAGGAAAAUGUGAAGUUGAUAUGGGACAACUGUUGGAUUUAAGUCAACAAUCUGUGAUAAAUUUAUAUAUGCUAAUAAAUAAUAAAUGCGAAUAGAAAAACUCACAGAGUAUGAACACAACUAAAAUAUAAAAUGGACAACUUGUAGAUCGAGGCUUGCGUACCGCAAUGUCCUUGAAACAGAAAUUUCGCCCCUACUCAGUGCUUGUAGUUCUCCGGACGUUUGUUUCACCAGGAUUCAACGAUCAAGUUAGAAUUCCAGCACCGGAAAACUUAACUUCUGGAGAAUUUCUUUGUGAUACUCUCAGUAAGAAUGUUAUGGAUUAUAGAAGGAGAUUUAUAUUUUUCUAUACUCUAAAUGCCAUGCAGACGGAUGUAUAUAUAGAGGGAUUAAGCCUGUUCGCAACAGGUAUGGAGAAGAAAUGUAUAUGUUGGAAAGCAUCUUCUCAGAAGGGGUGCUUUGCUCUGCGUUCUUUCUGAACUCUCAGACAUCAUCUGAAAGGAUGAACCUUUUCAUAAAAAUUAAGUUAAUUAAAUUCGAAAUUAAUUAAAAAUAAUUAAUUAAAGAAUUUAAUUUUCAGAGCCCAAGGCCCAUCUUUUGUUAAUUAAAUAUAUAUUAAUUAUCAAUUAAUUAGUGCACCUCAAAGCCCAACUUCAAGGGUGAGCCCAAUUUUAUUCUCCAAUGCCUAUUACUCCAAUUACUUUCUAUAAAGUAUAAAGCCUUAUAAAGUGAUGAAAGCUUUUGGGAAUGGCCACUGUGGGACAAAGAAAUUUAUACUCAAAUGACUCAAAUUUCCAAGAACAACUUCUUAUGCUGUGAACCUUUUCUAACAUGAAAUGGAACUGCAAGUGCAUCUCGUAAACUUCUCUAUUGGAACAAUGACUUACUACAUAAUUUGUUGUAAACCCCGGUGUUUUUUGGACUUGGUUCCUUCGUCUUAAGUCAAGUUCAGUUUACUUUUUAGAUUUGAAACUCUUAGUCGAGCUGAUGGCGAGAUUUUUUUUUUGUUGGUUGUGCUUGUGGGAAUGAUUUGCUUUGCUCAAUUAGGAGUUUGUCAUUACACUGGGAUGAUGCUUAUGAAUUUAUGAUAUCAGAAUGUUAAAUGUUAUUUAUGUAUUACGAAGUAAUUGAGGUUUUUCCCUAAAAUAAUUGAUAGUAUGCGGAAGAACUCGAUUCCUUGCUUAUGCAAGGUUGCUUAACCUUUUGAUGGAAGACGACAACUUACAUAAUGUCUUUGAAUAAGAAAGAUGUAACUACUAGAUACCCAGAUUUCUACUCACAUGUGAACUGAAUAAUAAACCACAUGUUUAAUUUAGACAUUUCAGUAAACCAUUAUCUCUUACAUCUGAUGUUGAGUUGAUUUUAUUUGUUAAUUUUGACGGUACGAGAAAAUUUUAUUAAUAUGAAAAAUAAAAGUUAUACUUGAUUAGGGACAAAAACCUUACCUCUUGUAACACAAGAAACAAGGAAGGAACAAAAACUUGACCUCUCCAUGAAUCUUGAAGAAAAUGAAUACAAAGAAAACUCGAGGUACAAAGGACCAAAACUUAAAAACACUGCAAUAAAGCAACAAUCUAAAAACUGAAUCCGAAAGUUUACCCUGAGUUGAAUUAUUCUCUCUAAUAAUAUCUUUUGUAUUAGAACAGAUUUUUUUUUUGGACAAAGAAACAUUCCAUUAAUGUAAGACAAAGAAACAUUCCAUUCAUGUAAGGGAAAAUACAAUUUGUGAGAGAUAGGCCUAAGUCCAAACAAAACACAAAGCCUUACAUAAAACAAAGCAGGACAUUAAAGGUAAAACAAACCCAAACCAAGUAGAGCGCCAACCCAAAACACAAAGGGAGGCCCAUACAUCAUUAGGCAUGUAGGCAGUAAAAGCAGAAAAGCAACAAAAACCCUAAUCUUUAGCAUCCAAAAGACCACCGCUGCCGCAGUAACAGCUUCCACCGCAAUAAAAUCUGUCGCCCCAAAAGAAAAAGAAAACCCGAACCCUAAACUAGAUAUGAGAGGGUUGUGCAGAAUCUAUCCACCAAGAAAUAAAGCCUCCACAUCCACAUCUGCAAGAAAGGUCACAAAACGUAACAGGAGGAGGGGGAGGGCAAAUGGGGUGUGUAAAACACCCUUGUUCCAAAGAGAAUCGUUCCACACUUCGCCCAAAUUUUCUGGCAAGCCGGUUCGGCAGUGGGAUUGGAGGGUUUGGUCUUGUGUAAAAGAAGAGCCCAAAACUCCAAGAUCUAAAUCGUGGUUAAGAGUUGGAAAAGAAGAGUGGGGAGGAGGCUAGGAGGAGGAGAGGAGAGGGUGCCACUAGCCCAAGCCGAAGCAAGGGCUAGCGGCGCCAUGGACGCUAGGGUUUGGAGCUCUUUCAGAGAGAGAGAUUCUAACAUUAUUUUUUAUGUAUUAUAAAAUUAGGAUCGUAACUCAGUUGUCAAGAAUUUUCGAUUCAAAUGAUUAAAGAUGUUUACUUUCCAAAUUUUAAUAUUAUGAAAAUGUGAAUUGGGGUCCACAUGAACGUACAAACGUCAGUGGAACUUAAACAAUAAAGUAAUGGGAAACAAACAAUAUCACUAUCAAAUAGCUUCUUUUUUACUUUAUAAAGGAAUAUUGCUAUUUACAUACUUCUUUUUAUUUCUUACAUUUUUCUCAAUUUUCGAUCAUCAGAUUGAAUGAAUUAAAAAAAAAAUUAAAGGAUUGAAAUUAACAACGAUUGUGUGAGAGGCAAAAAUAAAUGUAUGGGUAACAUUAUACCUCUAGCAAGGUUUGUCAUAGAACAAUAUGUAGAACCCCCACCAAAUUAUUGCAGGAAGUGUAGAUGGAUGGAAAUACUAAACAAGUUUAUGAGAAAUCUGAGUUGCUACAGCAGAGCUCUUGUAUUACUUCUUAUUGUAACUCUCUUAAUACAAAAUGAUAUGCCAAAGGCUAUAUAUAUAGUGAAUACAAAGUACUAGAGAGUUCAAACUAGAGAGUUCUUCCUAGAUAACUUAACAGAUAUAGGCUAGGAACAAUGACUCUAGAAUAAUUGUUCUUGGGAAUGUUUAGAGUCUUAACAUUUAGAGUAGUGCAUGAAUAAUUGUUCUUGGGAAUGUCUAGAAUCUUAACAUUUAGGAUAGUGCACUAAUUCCAACAAUUAUCGCCAGUAAAAGUUAAAAAGAAAACCCCAUCAGCAAGUUAUACUUUAGUCACAAAAAGUUGAAGAAGAAUAAAAGGUGCAAACUUUGGAAUUCCAUGUCUAUAAAACCUCAAAAGGCAAUGCACAGAGUACAGCAGCUCCAAUUUGUUAUCUUGAUCAUUUUUUAGUCUCUCAAGUUUCAAGUUUCUAUCUGCCUCUCUGGGUAGUGAUUUCUAGAUAAGCUUCUCUUUCUCUCUACUUAUAAAAUCCUCCCCAUUAAUUAUUUGAUCUUCUUUAUAUAAUAACAUUGAUUGUUUUAUCUGCUCUGUUCCGUGUUCAUAUCAAUCCAAAGCUAUGUAUUUUGCUUCUGUGUUCAUAUCAAUUCAAAGCUAUGUAUUUUGCUCCAAGAAAGUGAUCAAGAAAAUUACCCACUUGAAGAACCCUACCAUAAUCAGAUUUUUACUUUACUAGGCGAACCCUUUUUGUAAUUUUUGUACUUGUUCAGAGAGAAAUGCGAAGGAGACUCUCGAAAGUGGGACUCUCCAUGAACUCUCUACCGCUUCAUGUUUUUGGCAACUAUGGUAGAGAGUCCUUGGAGAGACAGCACUUUGGGAGAGUCCUUAUCAUUUCUCUUGUUCCGCAUUCGAAUGAAAGGUUUCAACUUUCAUCAUUUUCCCCAGCAACCAAACAAACCAAUAAGAAUUAACACAUCAACAGGCUGGACUUUCUUCAAUAAACAUGAGAAAGAACACUUGUUCUUGCAUAAACAAGAGUACUCUGUUUUAAAUCCUCUUUUCUUUUUUAUUUUCGGUUGCCCUCACUUUGAUCCUUUGGUUUUAUAGGCAUAAGUGCUAGUUCUACAAUGGCUUACGUUCCACCACACAGGCGGCACUCGAAGGAACUGGAGAGGCCAUUGGUCACUCCAGAGCUGCUUGCUCCUCAAUUCAAGAAAAACUUAAAAGUCAAGCCAUUUAAUAAAGUGGAUGAAAAUAUAGUUUAUGCAGACCAUUCUACACAUGGAUGGUGCGCCAUCCCUUUGGAUGACGAGAACCAGUUCCCAUCUUCUGUUAAUCUUGAGCCCGUUACCUUGGAGUCUGUUGAGCUGAAUUUUGGAGAAAAUCAUCUAGCUUUGAUCAAUAC